UUGUCCUUAGUUACCAGCACGUUAUGGUGGGCACUCUAAGGAGACUGCCGGUGACAAACCGGAGGAAGGUGGGGAUGACGUCAAGUCAUCAUGGCCCUUACGGCCUGGGCUACACACGUGCUACAAUGGCCGGCACAGCGGGAAGCGAGGCAGUGAUGCCGAGCGGAUCCCUUAAAGCCGGUCUACAGUUCGGAUUGAAGUCUGCAACUCGACUUCAUGAAGCUGGAAUCGCUAGUAAUCGCAGAUCAGCCAAGCUGCGGUGAAUACGUUCCCGGGCCUU
RNAcentral lists this ribosomal RNA (280 nucleotides) under uncultured Pseudomonas sp. RNAcentral describes it as "partial 16S ribosomal RNA". It matches the Rfam family "Bacterial small subunit ribosomal RNA", at positions 1105 to 1382 of the family's 1533-position model. The record is from RNAcentral. Lineage: Bacteria; Pseudomonadati; Pseudomonadota; Gammaproteobacteria; Pseudomonadales; Pseudomonadaceae.